UGCCCUCUAGUGCAACGGCAGCACGACUGACUCUGGAUCAGUUAAUCGGGGUUCGAAUCCCUGGGGGGCAA
RNAcentral lists this transfer RNA (71 nucleotides) under Candidatus Omnitrophota bacterium. RNAcentral's name for it is "tRNA-Gln". It matches the Rfam family "tRNA". From Rfam's summary of the family: Transfer RNA (tRNA) molecules are approximately 80 nucleotides in length. Their secondary structure includes four short double-helical elements and three loops (D, anti-codon, and T loops). Further hydrogen bonds mediate the characteristic L-shaped molecular structure. tRNAs have two regions of fundamental functional importance: the anti-codon, which is responsible for specific mRNA codon recognition, and the 3' end, to which the tRNAs corresponding amino acid is attached (by aminoacyl-tRNA synthetases). tRNAs cope with the degeneracy of the genetic code in two manners: having more than one tRNA (with a specific anti-codon) for a particular amino acid; and 'wobble' base-pairing, i.e. permitting non-standard base-pairing at the 3rd anti-codon position. Lineage: Bacteria; Pseudomonadati; Candidatus Omnitrophota. The record is from RNAcentral.